This 352-nucleotide ribosomal RNA is filed under the name uncultured bacterium. Its description in RNAcentral is "bacterial SSU rRNA". It matches the Rfam family "Bacterial small subunit ribosomal RNA", at positions 8 to 350 of the family's 1533-position model. The record is from RNAcentral.
CAGAGUUGAUCCUGGCUCAGGAUGAACGCUAGCUACAGGCUUAACACAUGCAAGUCGAGGGGAAACGACAUCGAAAGCUUGCUUUUGAUGGGCGUCGACCGGCGCACGGGUGAGUAACGCGUAUCCAACCUGCCCACCACUUGGGGAUAACCUUGCGAAAGUAAGACUAAUACCCAAUGACGUCUCUAGAAGACAUCUGAAAGAGAUUAAAGAUUUAUCGGUGAUGGAUGGGGAUGCGUCUGAUUAGCUUGUUGGCGGGGUAACGGCCGCCAAGGCUACGAUCAGUAGGGGUUCUGAGAGGAAGGUCCCCCANAUUGGAACUGAGACACGGUCCAAACUCCUACGGGAGGCA